AACAUCCAGCUUGGGACAUUGCAGUCACCUACUAAGCUCUGUAUCAUCACUUUCCAAGAGGACCUCUCCCCCAUAUUAUGCUUUCUCAGGGGACAUCAUUUAAAAUUGCCAUGUUUAUUUUUAAGUGCUUGGGAGGUAUUGGACAAACCUUUCAUGCAGCCCUAGAGUCAUUCUCUGAGAUUUCCCAGUUUGGUCACUGGCAGAGUUCUGAUCCAGUCAAAGACAGGAUUCUUGCCUCAUUUACUGGUCAAAGUCUCAGCCAAAGCAGAUGGCACAUUUGAAACAGGGGGCAUAGUUCACCAUAGGAACUGUCUGGCGAAGGUGUGGGUGGGUACAGGGCAGACACAGGCAUAGGAAUCUGCAAGCAAUAGCAGCCCAGCCCUGAGCCAGAAGAAGCAAGAGAGAGAGAAUGAUUUCCAGAAUGUGGAGGGGAAAGAGUCAGGCAGAAUUCCUCUGCAGGAAGCAGCAACUGGCUGAAGAGAGGGGUCAAGAGUCCUACGAUGUAUUUCAUCAUCAUUGCUUCACCCUGUGUGGACAGAGACAGCAUGCAGAGUGUCCUUGGGAUAUACCGGUCUACCCAGACACCAAAAGGGAUGUACAGAUCCACAGUGGCAGCAGGCACGUGAGAAUCAGGCUGACUGCCCAGGCCUCCGUUUAUACCCUGAAUGAGCUCGGUGCUCCUUGUGACCUUGGUGAUGUUUGUAGCUUUCCAGCUUCAGUUUUGACAACUGCAAAAUGAGAUCAACAAUCCCAACUACUUAACGGGGUUCUUUAGAAUAUGUAUGUGCGAGAUUUUCCUUGGUCUUAACACAUAGUAACCACUUGAUAAAUUGAAAUUAAAAAGGCUUAGGAUGUGUUUCCAGCACAUACCGAGUACCGUUCCCAUGCUGGGCGUUGGGACUAUAUUGGUGGAAGUUAGUUACGCAUCAUCCUGACUCCAGAGAUAUUAGAGCUCACAAACUACUCCCAUAGGGAAUUGUUCCACCUGUUUCUGGUACUCAGGGUCCCAUCAGCCCCAUAUUAUUCAUCUCCUGAGAACACAAGCUCUGUGAACAAGCUCCUUUACUAUAAUUCUUGCAUGAAUUCCUCUUGCCAUCCUGAUGUUGGAAAGUAAUGUUCUUUAAAAUCUUCCUUUUGUGUUUAUUCCCUGAGGACUGAAGGCCUGGCCAGCAUUGUGCAGGCUAUGAAAAAUCGAUACAUUCUGUUCUGAGUGUCCCCAGAGGGAGUUAUGCCCUGCUCCAUCAAUUUACUGGACCACAUUAAAGCCCUAAAUCAAAAUACUGACAAGUCUUUUCCAUUGUUGGGGAUUUUACCAGGCUAAAGAGCUGCUUUAUAAGUUUUCCACCAUAAUAAAAUUCUGCUGCCUGCAAAAGCGUCUGCUUUCAGAUGACUGAAACUAUUUUAUUUGGAUACAUCUAGUAUAGGAUGCCCCUGAGAAUAACUGAUUUAUGGCUUAAUGACUUUGCACACACAGUAUGUUCUAAGACCAAUUAUCUGCAGAAAACCGCCAACUGUGGUCGAUUCCAGAGGACAGCUGUGCUGAGGAUUCUUGUGCUUGUACUUGUAGCCAGGAGUAGGGUGAUUAUUGAGUACUUCAAUAUCACCUAAGAGACACUUGAGCCUUUGGCACUUGAUUGAAGAAUGUCUCCAGUGUUCACCUUUCCCUGCGAGUAACUUAAAUUUAAAGAUGAUACUUGCCUUCUAUGCAAAGUCAAAAUGGUUAAAGGAUGAAAUUAAUGGAAUAGCAUAUUGGAGUGGGAAGAAAUUGAAACCAGGAAACCUAGCUUCCAUCCCCUAGCGCUUCUGC
Molecule: long non-coding RNA, 1807 nt
Organism: Heterocephalus glaber (naked mole-rat)
Lineage: Eukaryota; Metazoa; Chordata; Mammalia; Rodentia; Bathyergidae
Source: RefSeq, a predicted model, not a curated record